GGGUCGUUAGCUCAGUUGGUAGAGCAGUUGACUUUUAAUCAAUUGGUCGCAGGUUCGAAUCCGGCACGACCCACCA
This 76-nucleotide transfer RNA is filed under the name Escherichia coli. RNAcentral's name for it is "tRNA-Lys". It matches the Rfam family "tRNA". From Rfam's summary of the family: Transfer RNA (tRNA) molecules are approximately 80 nucleotides in length. Their secondary structure includes four short double-helical elements and three loops (D, anti-codon, and T loops). Further hydrogen bonds mediate the characteristic L-shaped molecular structure. tRNAs have two regions of fundamental functional importance: the anti-codon, which is responsible for specific mRNA codon recognition, and the 3' end, to which the tRNAs corresponding amino acid is attached (by aminoacyl-tRNA synthetases). tRNAs cope with the degeneracy of the genetic code in two manners: having more than one tRNA (with a specific anti-codon) for a particular amino acid; and 'wobble' base-pairing, i.e. permitting non-standard base-pairing at the 3rd anti-codon position. The record is from RNAcentral. RNAcentral also lists the same sequence under 2 other names. Lineage: Bacteria; Pseudomonadati; Pseudomonadota; Gammaproteobacteria; Enterobacterales; Enterobacteriaceae.